This 440-nucleotide ribosomal RNA is filed under the name uncultured bacterium. RNAcentral's name for it is "partial 16S ribosomal RNA". It matches the Rfam family "Bacterial small subunit ribosomal RNA", at positions 338 to 795 of the family's 1533-position model. The record is from RNAcentral.
CCUACGGGAGGCAGCAGUGGGGAAUAUUGCACAAUGGGGGAAACCCUGAUGCAGCGACGCCGCGUGAGUGAAGAAGUAAUUCGUUAUGUAAAGCUCUAUCAGCAGGGAAGAACAUGACGGUACCUGAGUAAGAAGCCCCGGCUAACUACGUGCCAGCAGCCGCGGUAAUACGUAGGGGGCAAGCGUUAUCCGGAUUUACUGGGUGUAAAGGGAGCGUAGACGGCAGUGCAAGUCUGGAGUGAAAGGCGGGGGCUCAACCCCCGGACUGCUCUGGAAACUGUACGGCUGGAGUGCAGGAGAGGUAAGUGGAAUUCCUAGUGUAGCGGUGAAAUGCGGAGAUAUUAGGAGGAACACCAGUGGCGAAGGCGGCUUACUGGACUGUAACUGACGUUGAGGCUCGAAAGCGUGGGGAGCAAACAGGAUUAGAUACCCCUGUAGUC